This 238-nucleotide ribosomal RNA is filed under the name uncultured bacterium. Its description in RNAcentral is "partial 16S ribosomal RNA". It matches the Rfam family "Bacterial small subunit ribosomal RNA", at positions 15 to 248 of the family's 1533-position model. The record is from RNAcentral.
GAUCCUGGCUCAGGAUGAACGCUAGCGGCAGGCUUAAUACAUGCAAGUCGUGGGGCAGCGCAGUGUAGCAAUACAUGGGCGGCGACCGGCAAACGGGUGCGGAACACGUACACAACCUUCCUACAAGUGGGGAAUAGCCCAGAGAAAUUUGGAUUAAUACCCCGUAACAUAUAAAGAUGGCAUCAUUUUUAUAUUAUAGCUACGGCGCUUGUUGAUGGGUGUGCGGCUGAUUAGGUAG